AAAUUGAAGAGUUUGAUCAUGGCUCAGAUUGAACGCUGGCGGCAGGCCUAACACAUGCAAGUCGAACGGUAGCACAGAGAGCUUGCUCUCGGGUGACGAGUGGCGGACGGGUGAGUAAUGUCUGGGAAACUGCCUGAUGGAGGGGGAUAACUACUGGAAACGGUGGCUAAUACCGCAUAACGUCGCAAGACCAAAGAGGGGGACCUUCGGGCCUCUUGCCAUCAGAUGUGCCCAGAUGGGAUUAGCUAGUUGGUGAGGUAACGGCUCACCAAGGCGACGAUCCCUAGCUG
This 290-nucleotide ribosomal RNA is filed under the name Salmonella enterica. Its description in RNAcentral is "partial 16S ribosomal RNA". It matches the Rfam family "Bacterial small subunit ribosomal RNA", at positions 1 to 289 of the family's 1533-position model. The record is from RNAcentral. RNAcentral also lists the same sequence under 1 other name. Lineage: Bacteria; Pseudomonadati; Pseudomonadota; Gammaproteobacteria; Enterobacterales; Enterobacteriaceae.